CACUGAAAGUCCCAGUUAGGUCAAACCAUUAACAUGAACCUACUCAAUGAUUCUAACUAAUGAAUGAUCAGACCCAAAGAUGGCUCGAUCAACCCAACUAUCAAUAGAUAAUAUAACAGAGUCAUCAUAUGAUAAAUGAUAAUUCCAUUAUUCAAAAAGAACACCAGACGGAUGGCACCUGCAAUAUCAAUCAAAAAUAAUAGACCCAUUAUCAUUCACCUUAAUGAGAGGCAAUGAUCUGGUUAUCCCCACAACUAGCUUAUUUUAUGGACCUAAUAAUUUAAUAGAUUUAAGAAUCAGUUUAGAGAAG
RNAcentral lists this long non-coding RNA (310 nucleotides) under Elaeis guineensis (African oil palm). RNAcentral's name for it is "long non-coding RNA (EGUI_LNC069386)". Lineage: Eukaryota; Viridiplantae; Streptophyta; Magnoliopsida; Arecales; Arecaceae. The record is from RNAcentral.